RNAcentral lists this ribosomal RNA (458 nucleotides) under uncultured bacterium. RNAcentral describes it as "partial 16S ribosomal RNA". It matches the Rfam family "Bacterial small subunit ribosomal RNA", at positions 338 to 795 of the family's 1533-position model. The record is from RNAcentral.
CCUACGGGGGGCAGCAGUGGGGAAUAUUGCACAAUGGGGGAAACCCUGAUGCAGCGACGCCGCGUGAGUGAAUAAGUAAUUCGUUACGUAAAGCUCUAUCAGCAGGGACGAAACACUGACCUUACGGUCAGCAGACGGUACCUGAGUAAGAAGCCCCGGCUAACUCCGGGCCAGCAGCAGCGGUAAUACGGAGGGGUCAAGCGUUAUCCGGAUUUACUGGGUGUAAAGGGAGAGUAGACGGUGCGGCAAGUCUGGAGUGAAAUGCCGCAGCUUAACUGCGGAACUGCUUUGGAAACGGGCGGAAUGGAGUGCGGGAGAGGUAAGCGGAAUUCCUGGUGGAGCGGUGAAAUGCGUAGAUAUUAGGAGGAACACCGGUGGCGAAGGCGGCUUACUGGACCGUAACGGACGUUGAGGCUCGAAAGCGUGGGGAGCAAACAGGAUUAGAUACCCUGGUAGUC